CUACGGGCGGCUGCAGUCGAGAAUCUUUCGCAAUGGGGGAAACCCUGACGACGCGACGCCGCGUGGAGGAUGAAGGCCUUCGGGUUGUAAACUCCUGUCAGCAGGGGAGAACAAGUUGUCGGUGAAUAACUGACAGCUUUGACAGUACCUGCAGAGGAAGCCACGGCUAACUCUGUGCCAGCAGCCGCGGUAAUACAGAGGUGGCAAGCGUUGUUCGGAUUUAUUGGGCGUAAAGGGUCCGUAGGCGGCCUAGAAAGUCAGAUGUGAAAGCCCACAGCUCAACUGUGGAACUGCAUUUGAAACUUCUGGGCUCGAGUGUGAUAGGGGUAAAGGGAAUUCCCGGUGUAAGGGUGAAAUCUGCAGAGAUCGGGAGGAACACCAGUCGCGAAGGCGCUUUACUGGAUCACUACUGACGCUGAGGGACGAAAGCCAGGGGAGCAAACGGGAUUAGAUACCCCAGUAGUC
RNAcentral lists this ribosomal RNA (465 nucleotides) under uncultured bacterium. Its description in RNAcentral is "partial 16S ribosomal RNA". It matches the Rfam family "Bacterial small subunit ribosomal RNA", at positions 339 to 795 of the family's 1533-position model. The record is from RNAcentral.